UACGUAGGGGGCUAGCGUUGUCCGGAAUUACUGGGCGUAAAGGGCUCGUAGGCGGCCAACUAAGUCAGACGUGAAAUCCCUCAGCUUAACUGGGGAACUGCGUCUGAUACUGGAUGGCUUGAGUUUGGGAGAGGGAUGCGGAAUUCCAGGUGUAGCGGUGAAAUGCGUAGAUAUCUGGAGGAACACCGGUGGCGAAGGCGGCAUCCUGGACCAACACUGACGCUGAGGCGCGAAAGCUAGGGUAGCAAACGGG
RNAcentral lists this ribosomal RNA (253 nucleotides) under uncultured bacterium. RNAcentral's name for it is "partial 16S ribosomal RNA". It matches the Rfam family "Bacterial small subunit ribosomal RNA", at positions 524 to 776 of the family's 1533-position model. The record is from RNAcentral.